GGACUGCCUUUUGCAUAAUGAGCCUGCGAGUUGUGGUGUCUGGCAAGGUUAAGCAAACGCGAAGCCGUAGCGAAAGCGAGUCUGAAUAGGGCGCUUAGUCAGAUGCUGCAGACCCGAAACGAAGUGAUCUAUCCAUGAGCAAGUUGAAGCUAGUGUAAGAACUAGUGGAGGACUGAACCCAUAGGCGUUGAAAAGCCCCGGGAUGACUUGUGGAUAGGGGUGAAAGGCCAAUCAAACUUCGUGAUAGCUGGUUCUCUCCGAAAUAUAUUUAGGUAUAGCGUUGUGUCGUAAUAUAAGGGGGUAGAGCACUGAAUGGGCUAGGGCAUACACCAAUGUACCAAACCCUAUCAAACUCCGAAUACCUUAUAUGUAAUCACAGCAGUCAGGCGGCGAGUGAUAAAAUCCGUCGUCAAGAGGGAAACAACCCAGACUACCAGCUAAGGUCCCUAAAUCUUACUUAAGUGGAAAACGAUGUGAAGUUACUUAAACAACCAGGAGGUUGGCUUAGAAGCAGCCAUCCUUUAAAGAAAGCGUAAUAGCUCACUGGUCUAGUGAUUUUGCGCGGAAAAUAUAACGGGGCUAAAGUAAGUACCGAAGCUGUAGACUUAGUUUACUAAGUGGUAGGAGAGCGUUCUAUUUGCGUCGAAGGUAUACCGGUAAGGAGUGCUGGAGCGAAUAGAAGUGAGCAUGCAGGCAUGAGUAGCGAUAAUUAAUGUGAGAAUCAUUAACGCCGUAAACCCAAGGUUUCCUACGCGAUGCUCGUCAUCGUAGGGUUAGUCGGGUCCUAAGUCGAGUCCGAAAGGGGUAGACGAUGGCAAAUUGGUUAAUAUUCCAAUACCAACAUUAGUGUGCGAUGGAAGGACGCUUAGGGCUAAGGGGGCUAGCGGAUGGAAGUGCUAGUCUAAGGUCGUAGGAGGUUGUACAGGCAAAUCCGUAUAACAAUACUCCGAGAACUGAAAGGCUUUUUGAAGUCUUCGGAUGGAUAGAAGAACCCCUGAUGCCGUCGAGCCAAGAAAAGUUUCUAAGUUUAGCUAAUGUUGCCCGUACCGUAAACCGACACAGGUGGGUGGGAUGAGUAUUCUAAGGCGCGUGGAAGAACUCUCUUUAAGGAACUCUGCAAAAUAGCACCGUAUCUUCGGUAUAAGGUGUGGUUAGCUUUGUAUUAGGAUUUACUCCGAAAGCAAGGAAACUUACAACAAAGAGUCCCUCCCGACUGUUUACCAAAAACACAGCACUCUGCUAACUCGUAAGAGGAUGUAUAGGGUGUGACGCCUGCCCGGUGCUCGAAGGUUAAUUGAUGGGGUUAGCAUUAGCGAAGCUCUUGAUCGAAGCCCGAGUAAACGGCGGCCGUAACUAUAACGGUCCUAAGGUAGCGAAAUUCCUUGUCGGUUAAAUACCGACCUGCAUGAAUGGCGUAACGAGAUGGGAGCUGUCUCAAAGAGGGAUCCAGUGAAAUUGUAGUGGAGGUGAAAAUUCCUCCUACCCGCGGCAAGACGGAAAGACCCCGUGGACCUUUACUACAGCUUGACACUGCUACUUGGAUAAGAAUGUGCAGGAUAGGUGGGAGGCUUUGAGUAUAUGACGCCAGUUGUAUAUGAGCCAUUGUUGAGAUACCACUCUUUCUUAUUUGGGUAGCUAACCAGCUUGAGUUAUCCUCAAGUGGGACAAUGUCUGGUGGGUAGUUUGACUGGGGCGGUCGCCUCCCAAAUAAUAACGGAGGCUUACAAAGGUUGGCUCAGAACGGUUGGAAAUCGUUCGUAGAGUAUAAAGGUAUAAGCCAGCUUAACUGCAAGACAUACAAGUCAAGCAGAGACGAAAGUCGGUCUUAGUGAUCCGGUGGUUCUGUGUGGAAGGGCCAUCGCUCAAAGGAUAAAAGGUACCCCGGGGAUAACAGGCUGAUCUCCCCCAAGAGCUCACAUCGACGGGGAGGUUUGGCACCUCGAUGUCGGCUCAUCGCAUCCUGGGGCUGGAGCAGGUCCCAAGGGUAUGGCUGUUCGCCAUUUAAAGCGGUACGCGAGCUGGGUUCAGAACGUCGUGAGACAGUUCGGUCCCUAUCUGCCGUGGGCGUAAGAAGAUUGAAGAGAUUUGACCCUAGUACGAGAGGACCGGGUUGAACAAACCACUGGUGUAGCUGUUGUUCUGCCAAGAGCAUCGCAGCGUAGCUAAGUUUGGAAAGGAUAAACGCUGAAAGCAUCUAAGCGUGAAGCCAACUCUAAGAUGAAUCUUCUCUAAGCUCUCUAGAAGACUACUAGUUUGAUAGGCUGGGUGUGUAAUGGAUGAAAGUCCUUUAGCUGACCAGUACUAAUAGAGCGUUUGGCUUAUCUUUAAUAAAGCAU
This 2336-nucleotide ribosomal RNA is filed under the name Campylobacter jejuni. RNAcentral describes it as "partial 23S ribosomal RNA". It matches the Rfam family "Bacterial large subunit ribosomal RNA", at positions 598 to 2925 of the family's 2925-position model. Lineage: Bacteria; Pseudomonadati; Campylobacterota; Epsilonproteobacteria; Campylobacterales; Campylobacteraceae. The record is from RNAcentral.